AAGUUAUAAUUUAUUAAUUUUUAUUUUAUAUUUUAUUUUUAAUAAAAGUAAUUUUAUAGUUAAUUUUUUAGUAUAUUUUAUAGAAAAAAUUGGUUUAAUAAUAGUUGAAUAGUAUUGUGAAAGAAUAUUGAAAUAAUAUGAAAAUUAAUUUUUGGGAAAGAAGUAUUUAUUUUAUGUACCUUUUGUAUCAGGGUUUAUUAAUUAAAUUUUAUUAAUAAAUAAAUUUCUCGAAUUUAAAAGAUUUAAUAAAUUAUUAAAGUUAAUGUUGAAUAAUUAUUUUAAAUAAUUUAUUAGUAAUGAAAUGUUAUUCGUUUUUAAAUAUAUCUAGUUUUUUAAGAAAUAAAUUUAAUUUACAUAUUUAAAAUAUAAUAUUUUAUUUUGUUAAAGAUAUUAUUUUUUAAUAUGAAUAUUUUAAGGGAUAAGCUUUAAUUUAAUUUCUAUAAUAAAUUAAAUAAAGAUUAUAAAUAUAGGGUUAGAAAUAUCUAUUAUUAAUAAGUUUGUUUUAAUUUAUAUGUUGUGUUUAUAAUUUACUUUUAUUUAGAUUUUUUAUUAAAAUGAUUAUUUUAAUUAUAAAAGUAAUGUAAUAAUGAUAAAAUUAGUAUAAUGGUUUGUUUAAAUUUUAUAUUUAAAAAGAUUAAAUUAAGGAAUUCGGCAAAUUUUGUACCCACCUGUUUAACAAAAACAUGUCUUUUUGAUUAUAAUUUAAAGUCUAACCUGCCCACUGAAAUUUUUGAAGGGCCGCGGUAUUUUGACUGUGCAAAGGUAGCAUAAUCAUUAGUCUUUUAAUUGGAGGCUUGUAUGAAUGGUUGGAUGAGGUAUAAACUGUCUCAAUUUAAUAAAUAAUAGAAUUUUAUUUUUAAGUUAAAAAGCUUAAAUGAUAUUAAAAGACGAGAAGACCCUAUAGAUCUUUAUAAUUGAAUUUAUAAUAAUUUUUUGGAUUAGAUUUAUUUUUAUAAGUUAAAUUAUUUUAUUGGGGUGAUGAAAAAAUUUAUAAAACUUUUUUUUUAUUUAAACAAUGAUAUUUGGUUAUUUGAUCCAUUUUUUGUGAUUAUAAGAUUAAGUUACCUUAGGGAUAACAGCGUAAUUUUUUUGGAGAGUUCUUAUCGAUAAAAAAGAUUGCGACCUCGAUGUUGAAUUAAAGGUUAAUUUUAGGUGUAGAAGUUUAAAAUUUUGGUCUGUUCGACCAUUAAAUCUUUACAUGAUUUGAGUUCAAACCGGCGUGAGCCAGGUUGGUUUCUAUCUUUAAUUAAAUAAAAUAUUUUAGUACGAAAGGACCAAAUAUUUAAAAUAAUUUUUAAAAGUGAAUUAUAUUAAU
Molecule: ribosomal RNA, 1315 nt
Filed under: Parachauliodes asahinai
Lineage: Eukaryota; Metazoa; Arthropoda; Insecta; Megaloptera; Corydalidae
Description: 16S ribosomal RNA
Rfam family: Archaeal large subunit ribosomal RNA (bases 1072-1231)
Source: RNAcentral